Molecule: ribosomal RNA, 1425 nt
Filed under: Plantibacter auratus
Lineage: Bacteria; Bacillati; Actinomycetota; Actinomycetes; Micrococcales; Microbacteriaceae
Description: 16S ribosomal RNA
Rfam family: Bacterial small subunit ribosomal RNA
Source: RNAcentral
GCUUAACACAUGCAAGUCGAACGAUGAAGCCCAGCUUGCUGGGUGGAUUAGUGGCGAACGGGUGAGUAACACGUGAGUAACCUGCCCUUGACUCUGGAAUAAGCGUUGGAAACGACGUCUAAUACCGGAUACGAGCUUCCACCGCAUGGUGAGUUGCUGGAAAGAAUUUUGGUCAAGGAUGGACUCGCGGCCUAUCAGCUUGUUGGUGAGGUAAUGGCUCACCAAGGCGACGACGGGUAGCCGGCCUGAGAGGGUGACCGGCCACACUGGAACUGAGACACGGCCCAGACUCCUACGGGAGGCAGCAGUGGGGAAUAUUGCACAAUGGGCGAAAGCCUGAUGCAGCAACGCCGCGUGAGGGACGACGGCCUUCGGGUUGUAAACCUCUUUUAGCAGGGAAGAAGCGAAAGUGACGGUACCUGCAGAAAAAGCACCGGCUAACUACGUGCCAGCAGCCGCGGUAAUACGUAGGGUGCAAGCGUUGUCCGGAAUUAUUGGGCGUAAAGAGCUCGUAGGCGGUUUGUCGCGUCUGCUGUGAAAUCCCGAGGCUCAACCUCGGGUCUGCAGUGGGUACGGGCAGACUAGAGUGCGGUAGGGGAGAUUGGAAUUCCUGGUGUAGCGGUGGAAUGCGCAGAUAUCAGGAGGAACACCGAUGGCGAAGGCAGAUCUCUGGGCCGCUACUGACGCUGAGGAGCGAAAGGGUGGGGAGCAAACAGGCUUAGAUACCCUGGUAGUCCACCCCGUAAACGUUGGGCGCUAGAUGUGGGGACCAUUCCACGGUUUCCGUGUCGUAGCUAACGCAUUAAGCGCCCCGCCUGGGGAGUACGGCCGCAAGGCUAAAACUCAAAGGAAUUGACGGGGGCCCGCACAAGCGGCGGAGCAUGCGGAUUAAUUCGAUGCAACGCGAAGAACCUUACCAAGGCUUGACAUAUACGAGAACGGGCCAGAAAUGGUCAACUCUUUGGACACUCGUAAACAGGUGGUGCAUGGUUGUCGUCAGCUCGUGUCGUGAGAUGUUGGGUUAAGUCCCGCAACGAGCGCAACCCUCGUUCUAUGUUGCCAGCACGUAAUGGUGGGAACUCAUGGGAUACUGCCGGGGUCAACUCGGAGGAAGGUGGGGACGACGUCAAAUCAUCAUGCCCCUUAUUUCUUGGGCUUCACGCAUGCUACAAUGGCCAGUACAAAGGGCUGCAAUACCGUAAGGUGGAGCGAAUCCCAAAAAGCUGGUCCCAGUUCGGAUUGAGGUCUGCAACUCGACCUCAUGAAGUCGGAGUCGCUAGUAAUCGCAGAUCAGCAACGCUGCGGUGAAUACGUUCCCGGGCCUUGUACACACCGCCCGUCAAGUCAUGAAAGUCGGUAACACCCGAAGCCAGUGGCCUAACCGCAAGGAUGGAGCUGUCUAAGGUGGGAUCGGUAAUUAGGACU